Schizosaccharomyces pombe (fission yeast) is the source of this 476-nucleotide non-coding RNA. Lineage: Eukaryota; Fungi; Ascomycota; Schizosaccharomycetes; Schizosaccharomycetales; Schizosaccharomycetaceae. The record is from the annotation of a GenBank genome assembly.
CUUUAUUUACUAACAUAUUGUGACAACAUUCAUACAUCUACUUCGUUUAGAAUUACUUCCUACAUCUAUAAGAUGUGAACUUGUUAAAGCCUUUAAAUACUGAUGUCAUCUGAAUAAAAUAAACACCAAGUCGCACUCUUUGUUUUUUUUUUCUCCAGGUUCAGGAUAGCUUUUUUAGCUAUAAAUGUAAUCUGUAAAGGUAAGUUAAAUUGUAUGUAGUAUCCAAACAUCGACCCUAGAUAUGAAUCCGAAAAAUUCGCCCUUUAAUUGAAAAUAUAAAAGUAGUGUUCGUUACUAGACAUGCAAUUGUUGAUACUGUACUGAUUCUGCACAAUAAAGAAAACAACUUCCAGCCUUCUAAGCUAUUACGGAGGAUAACAAUAUUUUAUACAUUUCGGAAUUGAUUGAACAAAGUUUGGGGUAAAAGGUUUCCUUUCUAUUUUUUGCCUUAGAAAAAUGACAUAUUUCACCACGUG